UUGAGAGUUUUAUAAUAAGGAGUCGGACCUGCCCGGUGAAAUUUUUUAACGGCCGCGGUACUCUGACCGUGCAAAGGUAGCAUAAUCAUUUGCCUUAUAAUUGAAGGCUGGUAUGAAUGGUUUGACAAGAAUGUAGCUGUCUCUUUACAAUUUGAUAGAAUUUUAUUUUUAGGUGAAAAAGCCUAGAUUGGAUUAAAAGACAAGAAGACCCUAUCGAGCUUAAAAAAAGUUAAUAGAUGUUUAUUUUUAUUUUUCAUAAAGAAUAUGGCUGUUAAAUAUUUUGGUUGGGGCGACUAAGGAACAUGAAAAGCUUCCUUUUAAUUUAUAUUGGAACGUACAAGUGUUGAUCCAUAGUUAGUGAUUGAAGGAAUUAGUUACCGUAGGGAUAACAGCAUUAUCUUUUUUGAGAGUUCUAAUCGAAAAAAGGGUUUGUGACCUCGAUGUUGGACCAGAAUAUCCUAAAGAUGCAGAAGUCUUUAAGGGUUGGGUCCUGUUCGACCAUUAAAAUUCUA
RNAcentral lists this ribosomal RNA (512 nucleotides) under Punctoterebra textilis. Its description in RNAcentral is "partial 16S ribosomal RNA". It matches the Rfam family "Bacterial large subunit ribosomal RNA", at positions 1831 to 2598 of the family's 2925-position model. The record is from RNAcentral. Lineage: Eukaryota; Metazoa; Mollusca; Gastropoda; Neogastropoda; Terebridae.